Long non-coding RNA from Eubalaena glacialis (North Atlantic right whale), 288 nucleotides. RefSeq lists it as uncharacterized. The transcript has 3 exons. The record is from RefSeq and is a predicted model, not a curated record. NCBI's taxonomy places the organism in Eukaryota, Metazoa, Chordata, Mammalia, Artiodactyla, Balaenidae.
GGAAGAUUAGAUGAUAACUUAAAACAAGAGGGGCUUCCUGGGCUGAGGAGACAACACUGAAAGCUUCGUGAAGAAUUUGGAGAAUGCCACAGCAGAGAAAGCUGGAAUCAAGUGACUUUCUCCUCUGUAUAUCUGAGCAACGCAGUUUCUCCAUCUCUGUAUAAAGGCCCUUGGUCGUGAAUUCCCGUGCAUUUUGCUCCAAUUCACACCCGUUCUCUUCUCCUCUUCACUUCUUCGCCGUCCCUGCCGCUGCGGCUCCAACCCGGACGAUCAUCACCUCCCAUGGUA